RNAcentral lists this long non-coding RNA (675 nucleotides) under Citrus sinensis (sweet orange). RNAcentral's name for it is "long non-coding RNA (CSIN_LNC001540)". Lineage: Eukaryota; Viridiplantae; Streptophyta; Magnoliopsida; Sapindales; Rutaceae. The record is from RNAcentral.
AAGAAAAUAAGCAAAAAAGAAUAAGUAACACUGUCACAGGGGUCUGAUUUUUCUUUUUUAUCUUUUUAAAAAAAAUGGCUUUUAUAAUUUAAAACACUCAAGUUAUGGAUAAAGGCAAAAAUGCUAAUAUGAAUUUGUUGUGAUAUCGUGCAGUGGCUGCGGACCCGCGGCAUAGAGAUGUUGGAGUAGGGGUGCCGCGCGGGAGAACUUGACGGCAUUGACAGCAUCGAGUACUCAAAGUGGCUGUUGCCGUGCUAGUGUCGGUGAUAAAUGUUAUGGCUGAGCCGGUGUCGGCGAUAGAUUGGGUUUUGAGAAGAGAAUGGAAGCAAAGAGAAGAUGCGUUCUGUGGCUUAAUCGUGUUUUGAAGAAGAAAAAAUAUUACUCUUUUUUUUUUCCUCUCUUUAUAAGCAAUCACGCGUAAACCCGAUACCCCCCACGGGUUUAGUUAAUGCGGCUUUAACUGUAUAACAACAGUAAUGUUAUGCGGUAUAAUACGAAAUCAGUUUUUAGCCAAACAUAGGGUUGUAUUAAUUUAAUGCUAUGCGGGAUGGUAAUGCUGUGUAAUGCUGGAUGCCAAACGCAUCCUAAAUGACAAAGAGUACAAUUGAGAGUGGCGCGAGACCGCUAAAAUCUAAACCCUUUACUCCACAGCACCUGCUUUUUAAAACGUUACAC